This 275-nucleotide ribosomal RNA is filed under the name uncultured bacterium. RNAcentral's name for it is "partial 16S ribosomal RNA". It matches the Rfam family "Bacterial small subunit ribosomal RNA", at positions 557 to 831 of the family's 1533-position model. The record is from RNAcentral.
GGUGUAAAGGGUGCGUAGGCGGCGAGGCAAGUCAGAUGUGAAAGCCCUAGGCUUAACUUAGGGACUGCAUUUGAAACUGCUUUGCUAGAGUGCAGGAGAGGAAAGUGGAAUUCCUAGUGUAGCGGUGAAAUGCGUAGAUAUUAGGAGGAACCCCAGUGGCGAAGGCGACUUUCUGGACUGUAACUGACGCUGAGGCACGAAAGCGUGGGGAGCGAACAGGAUUAGAUACCCUGGUAGUCCACGCUGUAAACGAUGAGUGCUAGGUGUUGGCCCGU